This 378-nucleotide unclassified non-coding RNA is filed under the name plant metagenome. RNAcentral's name for it is "partial contains 5.8S ribosomal RNA, internal transcribed spacer 2, and large subunit ribosomal RNA". The stretch from base 1 to 105 matches the Rfam family "5.8S ribosomal RNA", at positions 50 to 154 of the family's 154-position model. The record is from RNAcentral.
GAAAUGCGAUAAGUAAUGUGAAUUGCAGAAUUCAGUGAAUCAUCGAAUCUUUGAACGCACCUUGCGCUCCUUGGUAUUCCUUGGAGCAUGCCUGUUUGAGUAUCAUGAAAUCUUCAAAGUAAAUCUUUUGUUAACUCAAUUGGUUUCUACUUUGGUAUUGGAGGUCUUUGCAGUUUCACACCUGCUCCUCUUUGUUCAUUAGCUGGAUCUCAGUGUUAUGCUUGGUUCCACUCGGCGUGAUAAGUUAUCUAUCGCUGAGGACACUGUAAAAGGUGGCCAAGGUAAAUGCAGAUGAACCGCUUCUAAUAGUCCAUUGACUUGGACAAUACUUUUAUGAUCUGAUCUCAAAUCAGGUAGGACUACCCGCUGAACUUAAGC